CCUACGGGAGGCAGCAGUGAGGAAUAUUGGUCAAUGGUCGCGAGCCUGAACCAGCCAAGUCGCGUGAAGGAUGACUGCACUAAGGAUUGUAAACUUCUUUUGUCAAGGAAUAAAGUCAGGCACGUGUCCCUUUUUGUAUGUAUUUUAUGAAUAAGCAUCGGCUAACUCCGUGCCAGCAGCCGCGGUAAUACGGAGGAUCCGAGCGUUAUCCGGAAUGACUGGGCGUAAAGGGUGCGUAGGUGGUUUGGCAAGUUAGUAGCUUAACUCCAAGGCUCAACCUUGGAACUACUACUAAAACUGUUAGUCUUGAGUGCAGGAGGGGUAACCGGAAUUCGUAGUGUAGCGGUGGAAUGCGUAGAUAUUAGGAAGAACACCAGUUGCGAAGGCGGGUUGCUAGACUGUAACUGACACUGAGGCACGAAAGCGUGGGGAGCAAACAGGAUUAGAUACCCGAGUAGUC
Molecule: ribosomal RNA, 460 nt
Filed under: uncultured bacterium
Lineage: Bacteria
Description: partial 16S ribosomal RNA
Rfam family: Bacterial small subunit ribosomal RNA
Source: RNAcentral